AAUGAGCAAAUAACAACAAUAAUAAUUAAUAAUAACAGUAUAACAUCAAAUUUAUUACUUAAUAAGAAAUUAAAAAAAUACAAAAGGACUAAAUUAAAACUUCAAACGAACUUCGGGUUUAAAUAUGUAAAUAAACAAAAGGAAUAGUGCAGGACUGAAGUAAAAUGCGAUUAAAGCGUGAGGGACUUGUGGGGAAAUAUUUCCCAGUCCUGAAACGCUGAGCUUCAACUAGGGGCAGCACAUGGUCUAAGGACCAAAUCGAAAUAGAAGUAAAAUUCUCAGGCCAAAAUAAAAAAAAAAAACAAAAGACCGCAUUGAAGCAAACCGCAAAGGUGGAGGGAUCUAUUGCACAAAUAGCCCCCCAGGUGAAAACGCGCGGAUCCUCCCCCAGGGUCGGGUCACCGCGCGAGUCAGGGCCAAAACGACACCUGACCCUUAAUAUCAAAACGGCGCCGUUUUAAAAUACUUAUAAAACCUAAAAAAAACCCCUAAAAGUUCAUUUUUUUAACAGCUUCUAAAAAAAAACUGAGAAUACUCCUAGGCUCCCCAGCCCUCUGAGCUCCGGCCUAGGUCUGGCAAAAGGAGCUAGCACACCUCCGCCGUAUCCCCGCCGCAAGCGGCGGCCGGAGGUGCAAAAUAGACCUCUUUUUAGCCCCGUUUGAUUCCAAACUCCCCUAGAACUCGUAUUCAAAGCCAAAUCCUUUGAAAGUUGAGCCAAAACCGAAAAGAAAAGGAGGUAUCCGCUCACCUUCCCCUCUCUCCGGCGCGGCGUAGGUAAGGUUUUUGUUUUUGUUUAAAAAGGUUUGUAGAAAAUAAAAAAAAUGAAAUAAAAAACGUAAAAAAAAGGAAGAAGAAGAUGAUGUAGUUAACCUUUUUCUUUUGAUCUGCUUUUUGUAUUCACUAUUGUUGUUUUUUAUUAACUGUUUGUGAAGAAGCUACAAAGGUUUCAUUUUUCGGUCUUUAUAACCGAUUUUUACAUAUUUUUUAAAUCUAUUCUAUAUGCUGUCACUUCUUGCUUUUUGAUUUUGCAGGUGGUGGUUGCAGGCAGCGGCGGUGCAGGUGGCGGCAGGUGGACAGAAGGGUCAGAAGACCCUAGGUGCGGCGCACCUAGGGGUAGGGUUUUCUGAUUUUUUGUUUUGUUUGUUUUGGGCUGCUGGAAAUGGGUUUGGGUAAUUGGGCUUGUAUUUGGGCUGUUUGGGGUUUAGUUAUUUUUGGGUCUGAAUGGUUUGUUUAUUUUGUAAAUGGGCCCGGGCGAAAUUGGGCUUCUACACAUGAUAAAGAUUAAUGACGAAAUCUAUGUAUAAUUCUUAUAAAUUAAUUACAACUAAUUUAUAGAUUUGGAGGAUUUACCUUUAGGCUUUCCCCAUGAAAAGCAUGAUUGGCCAGCUUUCGAUGCUUUGCCCA
This 1404-nucleotide long non-coding RNA is filed under the name Gossypium barbadense (sea-island cotton). RNAcentral's name for it is "long non-coding RNA (GBAR_LNC013901)". Lineage: Eukaryota; Viridiplantae; Streptophyta; Magnoliopsida; Malvales; Malvaceae. The record is from RNAcentral.